CCUACGGGUGGCAGCAGUGGGGAAUAUUGGGCAAUGGGCGCAAGCCUGACCCAGCAACGCCGCGUGAAGGAAGAAGGCUUUCGGGUUGUAACCUCUUUUAAAGGGGAAGAGCAGAAGACGGUACCCCUUUAAUAAACCACCGCUAACUACGGUCCAGCAGCCGCGGUAAUACGUAGGUGGCAAGCGUUGUUCGGAUUUACUGGGUGUAAAGGGCAUGCAGCCGGAGAGACAAGUCAGAUGUGAAAUCCACGGGCUCAACCCGUGAACUGCAUUUGAAACUGUUUCCCUUGAGUGUCGGAGAGGUAAUCGGAAUUCCUUGUGUAGCGGUGAAAUGCGUAGAUAUAAGGAAGAACACCAGUGGCGAAGGCGGAUUACUGGACGAUAACUGACGGUGAGGCGCGAAAGCGUGGGGAGCAAACAGGAUUAGAUACCCCAGUAGUC
RNAcentral lists this ribosomal RNA (441 nucleotides) under uncultured bacterium. RNAcentral describes it as "partial 16S ribosomal RNA". It matches the Rfam family "Bacterial small subunit ribosomal RNA", at positions 338 to 795 of the family's 1533-position model. The record is from RNAcentral.